Molecule: long non-coding RNA, 2037 nt
Organism: Papio anubis (olive baboon)
Lineage: Eukaryota; Metazoa; Chordata; Mammalia; Primates; Cercopithecidae
Source: Ensembl
UUUCUGUUUUUUGUUUGUUUAGACUAAUCUCUUUAAUUGUCUGUUUUCAAUUUGUUAUUUUUAGUUUCUGUUUGGUUCUAUUAUUAUUUUUUGACAGUUUCUUGCUCUAUUACCCUUGACUUCUCAAACUCAAGUGAUCCUCCUACCUCAGCCUCCCAAAAGUAACUACACCCAGCUAACUUUUUCUUUUUUUUUUUUUCUUUUUUGUUUUUUGUGGAGACAAGGAUCUCACUAUGUUUCCUAGGCUGGUCUUGAGCUUCUGGCCUCAAGCUAUCUUCCCACUGUGGCCUCCCAUAGUGCUGGGAUUAUAGUCAUGAGCCACUGUGUCCAGAUGAUUAUGUUUAGUUUGCUCUUCUGUUGAACAACCUGAUUCCAUGACUCAUAUUCAAGACAAGAAUCCUGGCCCGGCCCUGCCCACCAAUGACUUCUACACCCAUCUGAAUGAAGAGGUCAUAAGAUGGCUGCUGCAUUUGCACCAAUCCCGUUUCAGGAAGGAGAGAAAUAAAGGAGCAAAAAGAAAACAGAAGUACAUGCCCAUCAGCUCUGUGCCUCAGAAGCUCCUCUCCUCAUUAGCCAGAUCUGCUUCGUACAACAUUUCAGUUACCUCCUAUUGUAUAACAACACACCACAAUACUUAAUGGUGAGGACUAAAAUCUGACCUUUUCUUCUCUUGCCAAAAUUCCCAUCUAAGGGGCCUGGAAGGUAUUGCCCUACAAACCAUAAAAUCUCAUUAGAUGUUUAUUAACCAAGUAUAAUGUGGCUUACUUUCCAACCUGACUCUGGUGUAGCAUCACAUGAUAGAUAGCAAAUCCUGAAGGAAAUCAAAAUAUUUCACCCCAAAAUACUUUCAUUUGAUGUGUUUAGAAAUAGCUACCACAGGGCCAACAAGUUGAAAUGACCCUGCAAAGUCAUAUUUUGUGGGAGAAAUUUGCAUCUGUAGAGAAUCUCCAUUAAUGCGGCAGGUCUAUCCUUUCUAGGCCUUUCCUGGAUCUAGGAGAGAUUAACUGUGAGUCUUACACCUUUAAGUCUUGAAAAGAGAUAUUUACCAUCUAUUCUCAUCGAGGGCUGCUACCUGAGAGCUUUAUCUACAUAACAAAAACCUUAACUCAAGCAUUCCUUUCUACUGAAUCCAAGUCUUUGGACAAUAGUUUAACUCUCAAUUAAUUGUCAACUAAAUAAUCCCUAAAACCCACCUGUGACUUACAAGUUCCCCACUACACAACUCCUAACUCCACAUUGAGAUGUCCCACCUCACCCUGCAGAAUCUUCCACAUAUAAACCCAAACUAUAACCUGACCACCUCAGAUAAACCUUCCCAGGACCUCUUGAGGUUGUAUAACCCCAGACCAUGGUCACUUAUACUGGCUCAGAAUAAGCCUCUUCACACUUAUCUUGGCAGAAUUUAGUUGUAUUUCAUCAUCAAUAUCUUUAUAAAACAAGAACAUAGCAGACAAUUCUUCCAUUUGCAUACAUUUCACUAGGAAAGGCCAGAGGAUCUAAGAUGGCUUCAUCUAUAAAUCUGGUAUUCAACUGGGAUGGCUAGAGUGACUGUGAGUUGGCUGGACCUCUCUUUAUUAUUUUUUUUCAUGAUUUUUCUUCCUCCAAGAUUUUUGUCUCUGUCCCUAUGGAUUUUUUUCUAGCCAGUAGCUGGAAUUCUUUACAUGAUGAGUGGCUUCUAAGAGAGUGACAAACAGAAGUUGCAAAGUCUCUUAAGAUCUAGGUCCAGGCAUCAACCAAUAUCACUUCAACACAGUCUACUAGUCAAAACACAACCAGCCUAUAUUAGUCUGUUUUCACAAUGCUAUAAAUAAAUAUCCAAGUUUCAAUUGACUCACAGUUUCACAUGUCUGGGGGGCCUCAGGGAACUUAUAAUUGUGGCAGAAGGCAAAGGGACCUUCUUCACAUGGCAUCAGAGAGAGAAGAGUGGAAGAGAAAAGGGAGAAGAGCCCCUUAUAAAACCAUCAGAUCUCAUGAGAACUCACUCACUGUCAUGAGGACAGCAUGGAGGAAACCACCUCCAUGAUCCAGUUACCACCC